This 27-nucleotide non-coding RNA is filed under the name Rattus norvegicus (Norway rat). Lineage: Eukaryota; Metazoa; Chordata; Mammalia; Rodentia; Muridae. The record is from RNAcentral.
UGAGUCUUCACCGUUGCCAAGUGAUCU